CCAUUUUCUUACUUAGUUGGUGACCUUUCAUUCUCAUCAGUCGAAUUUUAUUGGUGUUGUUGCUCUUUCAUCCAAGAUCACUAGGAUUGACUGGUUCAUGAGAUUAAAUACCCCAACCUUUACUAGCUCUAAGGUUGAGGAGGAUCCUUAAGGGUUUGUGGAUAAAAUAGAGAAGAUAUUCAGGGUGAUGUAUGCUACCAAUUUUGAGGGUGUAGAGUUUGUUGAAUA
This 228-nucleotide long non-coding RNA is filed under the name Capsicum annuum. RNAcentral describes it as "long non-coding RNA (CANN_LNC005031)". Lineage: Eukaryota; Viridiplantae; Streptophyta; Magnoliopsida; Solanales; Solanaceae. The record is from RNAcentral.